CGCCGCCGCGCCACCGGCUGCCGCCCGCCGCCGGCCAGCACCACCUCCGGACCCCUCGGAGUGUAAUAUACCGGAUUUAAAUAUAAAAAUAAAAAUAAAAAUAGUAUGAGAUACUAUUUUUAUUGGAUUUGGAGAAGUGAAAUAUGAGUUAGAAGUAUCUUGUGCUGAAAUCGGAAUGAAAACAGAAGAUUUAGAAUUUUCUGUGAGAGACGGGGC
Molecule: long non-coding RNA, 216 nt
Filed under: Ananas comosus (pineapple)
Lineage: Eukaryota; Viridiplantae; Streptophyta; Magnoliopsida; Poales; Bromeliaceae
Description: long non-coding RNA (ACOM_LNC023153)
Source: RNAcentral